AGACAAACAAUUGAUUAUGGAUAUUUUUAAUUCUGUAAUCCUGUCACCUUAGGUCGAUCGGUACCUCAGGUUAAAGCCUAAGAAAUAAUGUUUUCAUUACUUAUUUGGGCUAUUAAUUUCAGUUCCUAAACUUGUCUAGGUCACACCCAUCAACUUUCUUCUGGGCUAUUAGCUCAGGCGGUUAGAGCGCACCCCUGAUAAGGGUGAGGUCCCUGGUUCAAGUCCAGGAUGGCCCAUUCCGUUGUUGGGGGUAUAGCUCAGUUGGUAGAGCGCCUGCUUUGCAAGCAGGAUGUCAGCGGUUCGAGUCCGCUUACCUCCACUGAUCAACUGCCUAAUAACUCUUUAAAUGAAGAUUGUUGUUAAUGUGUGAUAUCUAGACGUUGUUCACUGGAUGACCCUAGCUUCAUAUCAUUCCUUUUUGAUUCAAAAGAAUUUUCAAGGUUGAUAAGACGCUGGGCUCACUGUAUUUCUUUAUUGAAUUACAGAUUAGUUCAGUAGAACCUUGACAACUGCAUAGGUAAGUCUGGAAAGAAUAAAGCAUCUCAUAGAUGCAUAUAUUCUAUUAAUUAAGAUUCUUUUAUCUUUUUUGGUAGAAUAAAUGUUCAAUUCAUAAGUAAAGAGCCGAGUCUAUGGUCUUUUCUUUAUAUUUAUCGGCUGGUAAAACUGUCAAUAAAUAUUUUCAGAAGGAUCUUUAGAUAUUAACUAUAUGGUCAAGCUACAAAGGGCUCACGGUGGAUACCUUGCACACAGAGCGAUGAG
Molecule: transfer RNA, 759 nt
Filed under: uncultured cyanobacterium
Lineage: Bacteria; Bacillati; Cyanobacteriota
Description: partial 16S-23S intergenic spacer
Rfam family: tRNA (bases 247-319)
Source: RNAcentral